UUGAAUGGCCGCAGUAUAUUGACUGUGCUAAGGUAGCAUAAUAAUUAGUUUUUUAAUUGAAAACUGGAAUGAAGGGUUGGACGAAAAAGAAGCUGUCUAUAAUUAAUUUAAUAAAAUUUUAUAUUUAAGUUAAAAAGCUUAAAUUUUUUUAAAAGACGAGAAGACCCUGUAGAGUUUAAUAAUUAAUAAAUUUAAAUUUAUUUAGAAUAAGUAUAUUUAAAUUAAAUUAAUUAUUUAGUUGGGGUGAUUUAAAAAUUUAAUAAACUUUUUAUAUAUUUUUAUAUUGAUUUAUAAUUAUUUGAUCUGCUAUUAUUGAUUAUAAGAUUAAAUUACCUUAGGGAUAACAGCGUAAUUUUAUUUGAAAGUU
Molecule: ribosomal RNA, 367 nt
Filed under: Theopea sauteri
Lineage: Eukaryota; Metazoa; Arthropoda; Insecta; Coleoptera; Chrysomelidae
Description: partial 16S ribosomal RNA
Source: RNAcentral